CUCCUACGGAGGCAGCAGUGAGGAAUAUUGGUCAAUGGACGCAAGUCUGAACCAGCCAUGCCGCGUGAAGGAUGAAGGCCUUCUGGGUUGUAAACUUCUUUUACCUGGGAAGAAACCACUCUUUUCUAAGAGUGUUGACGGUACCAGAGGAAUAAGCACCGGCUAACUCCGUGCCAGCAGCCGCGGUAAUAC
Molecule: ribosomal RNA, 192 nt
Filed under: uncultured bacterium
Lineage: Bacteria
Description: partial 16S ribosomal RNA
Rfam family: Bacterial small subunit ribosomal RNA
Source: RNAcentral